This is an RNA transcript of Biomphalaria glabrata, 2414 nucleotides long. It is a transcript of the gene named AP-1 complex subunit sigma-2-like, with no coding region annotated. NCBI's taxonomy places the organism in Eukaryota, Metazoa, Mollusca, Gastropoda, Planorbidae. The record is from RefSeq and is a predicted model, not a curated record. The transcript has 7 exons.
AUCGGACUUACCUACAAAGUGACGUAAAAGCAGGCAGGCUUUACUGUUGUGUCUUCAAGUGUAUUUUUCCUAUUUAGUUAUCUUCUUAUUUAUAAAUAUCAUUAUUUAAAUAAAAUGAUGCAGUUUAUGCUAUUGUUUAGUCGACAAGGCAAACUAAGACUCCAGAAAUGGUUCACUGCCUACCCAGACAGGACAAAGAAGAAGAUAACUAGAGAAUUAAUAGCACUUGUUUUAGCCCGAAAGCCAAAGAUGUGCAGUUUUUUAGAAUGGAAAGAUUUAAAAAUUGUUUAUAAAAGAUAUGCCAGUUUGUAUUUCUGUUGUGCAAUUGAAAAUGAUGACAAUGAGUUACUCACACUUGAAGUUAUUCAUCGCUAUGUAGAACUUUUAGACAAAUAUUUUGGAAGUGUGUGUGAACUUGACAUCAUCUUCAAUUUUGAGAAGGCCUACUUCAUGUUGGAUGAGUUUCUGUUAGGGGGGGAAGUGCAAGAGACCAGCAAGAAAAAUGUUCUUAAAGCCAUUGCAGCCCAGGAUUUACUCCAGGAGGAUGAAGCAGUUGAAAUAGCCCUUAAAGAAUAUGGCCUGUACUAGCAUUGGUUGCCCUAUUUUUACCUCAUGCAUUAUGUAGGUCAGGUAUGAUUCGAGCUGAUUCUAUUUUUCAAGUCAAAUUCCUUCAAAGUGUUUUAUAGAUUCAUCACAAGCCUGUGUUUGGGAGGAAACUCCACAGGGAUUCUUCGAGGACCAUGGCUUAGGCUAAAGUUUUCCUGUUCAGCACUGCACCUUCCACUCCCUUCAUCCUAACUGCAUUGCAUGACUGACUGAAUUCAUUCAUCUUGGUUUAUUUCUAUGACACAAUGUUUGGUAGUAAUCAGAUUGAUUGGGUUUGUCUUGUAACAAUACUGUUCAUUGAUAAAAUAUAUUUUGUAUACUGCUUGUCAUGAGAUUAAGUGAUAGUUUUAUUUAAAAGUCAAAAUAUUUCUGUACAAGUAAAUGUCAUUUGUAUUUCAACCUAUUAUUAUAUGUCUUGAUAAACUGGACUCAAAGUUCAUGGGGAUAUUAUUUUGUAAUAAACAAAAAGGGGAGGACAUAAAUGUACUAUGAACAUUUGGAUCAUACUAAAUGAUGAGCAGCUAAGGAUGUCCUUCUUCAUAAAAUAUAAAAGCAUUCCUUUCUACAAAUCUCCUGCAGGGUGGAACAUAGUACAAAAGAAAACAUCUGUACCUUAGAAAACAAUGAUAGAAAAAAAAAACCAACAUUAACUGUCGAGAUUGGUGGCUAUUUUGUAUUGGCUUGAGUCUAGACCUUAAAAUUGAUUAAUUGUAUUUGUAAUGCCAUGUUGACUAUUGUAUUUUGCAUAGACUACAGGUAAGCAAUUCCAUUACUUUUCUGUUAUAUGUUUUAAUGACAUCCUUGCCUGUUUUCUUAACAGCACAAUAAGAAGCUUGUAUGUUUUAGUUGCUGUAUUUUGUAUUUACUUUAAGAUAUUCAAAGUAAAUUAGAGUUUUGGUUGUGUACCCUGGCAAUUUUUGUAUUCAGAGUUGCUACAGGUUUUUUUUCAUCUUUUGCGUGUGUGUUUUGAUUUAUAAUGUUUUAAAGAAAAUCUUUAGCCCUGUAUCAGUAUCCUCAAAUCAUUCCAGGAGUCUAACAUGCAAGUUCAGUUAUUUCUGAAGUAUUUAUUUAAGGUUCUAGUUGUUUAAAAAAAUGGACAUCAAUAAUUUGUGCUGACUGAGUGUCACUAGGAACAGAUCCCCUGCAAUAUACCUUGUUACAAGUGAACUCUUCGUCUCGUAAAUUAUUAUUUUUUUUUUUCAAUAGAAUUUACUUUUGUUUUUUUGUUUUUUUUUUAAUACUUUCUAGUUCUUAUUCCUAUCCUGAAACCAAAAUGUUGUUGUUGUUUUUUUCAGUAUAAAGUGUAACAUAAGAGACAGUUCUAAUGUGCUAAUUUAAGUACUGAUUACAAAAGUGGUCCUAAUUCAUUGAUUAGAAGUCAAAAUGAUUGUCAUUUUUUUUUUAUAGAAGGUGAUGUCAUAUUUCUGCUGGGGAAGGUAGAGAGAAAGAAAAACCAUAACUCAUUUUAGAAUGGUUAAGCUUGUUUUUAUAAGGGACAGUAAAGGAGUGGCUAUUUUUUUAAACAGUCAAGCAUAUCUUCAAUGACAAUUAGCUCCAACAUGACUACAGAGGCAUUAUUAUGUUGAAAAUGUGAUUUUCAUUCCAUGACUUUUUGAUUUUGUUAACACCAAACAGUUUAGUUACUGUGCAUUUUUUUAUUUUGUUACAAAAAUGUUUUUUGUUUUUUUUUUAGUUUCUGUUUAUGUGUCAGUGUGUAUAAACUUAUGUACAUUUGUGGACUUUAUAAAUAUGUAAUGAACUUUAAGUCAAAAUGUGGACAUUAAAUUUGGUUUUGUAAACAUUCUAAA